This 253-nucleotide ribosomal RNA is filed under the name uncultured bacterium. RNAcentral's name for it is "partial 16S ribosomal RNA". It matches the Rfam family "Bacterial small subunit ribosomal RNA", at positions 524 to 776 of the family's 1533-position model. The record is from RNAcentral.
GACAUAGGUGGCGAACGUUAUCCGGAAUUACUGGGCGUAAAGAGCUCGUAGGUGGUUUGUCGCGUUGUCCGUGAAAACUCACAACUCAAUUGUGGGCGUGCGGGCGAUACGGGCAGACUGGAGUACUGCAGGGGAGACUGGAAUUCCUGGUGUAGCGGUGGAAUGCGCAGAUAUCAGGAGGAACACCGGUGGCGAAGGCGGGUCUCUGGGCAGUAACUGACGCUGAGGAGCGAAAGCGUGGGGAGCGAACAGG